RNAcentral lists this long non-coding RNA (550 nucleotides) under Podarcis muralis (Common wall lizard). RNAcentral's name for it is "lncRNA (ENSPMRG00000005727.1)". The record is from RNAcentral. Lineage: Eukaryota; Metazoa; Chordata; Lepidosauria; Squamata; Lacertidae.
CUCCAUACAAUUACAUACAUUCCCUGCUUCCCCCAGGCAGCCGGAUUAUGAAAGAUAUUAUAACAACAGCAGGACUCCUAAAAAAACACAGGAAAACCACUUCUAUAAAGAGGUUCCUGUCAUCACGUGCAUCACAUCCGGAUUACCAAUGCACAAAGCUUACGUGUCAGUAUAUCACAAAACCCUACAAAUAGGUUAAGCGGUCCAGGAGGCACAGAACGAUCACCAGAGUAUUCUGCCUCAGUAGUCUGCUCUUGCUGCUCAACUUGAGAUCUGAGUAAAGCUUCAGCAAUGCGUUUGCGCUGGCUUUUCGUGGUUGCCCUUCUGUUUUCUGAGAUGCUUAUGUUUUCUGCAGGACAAUAUAACAAAAAGGAAGGUGAAGCUAAAUGUGAAAAUAUAGGAGGCUUCUGCGAUGAAGAAUACUGUCCUUCGGACCACAGGCAAAAGAUGCUCUGCUAUGAAAAGGCACCUUGCUGCGUACCAUUAAAAUAAUGGAAAUAAAAAGCCCAGUUUCAUGCCUUCAAAAUUAUGCUGGCUAUGAAUAAAUGUU